This 1588-nucleotide long non-coding RNA is filed under the name Homo sapiens (human). RNAcentral's name for it is "non-protein coding WDFY3-AS2:22". The record is from RNAcentral. Lineage: Eukaryota; Metazoa; Chordata; Mammalia; Primates; Hominidae.
CCUUACUUCCUUCCCUUCCCUCGGCUUCCCGCUCUUGCCUCACUCUCAGCGGCUGCCUUCGCCCCUGUCUGCAGACAGCGCCGCUGGAUGCUCCCAGCUGGACUUCAACCCCACUCCUCUCAGUCCCUCUCCCCACUGCCUUCCAGACGCGCCUCUUCCCCGCCCCGCGCCCCUCUCUCCUCUCCCACCCCUGCCCCUCUCCGCGGCGCUCACCCUCCUCAGUCCCAGUUUCUGAAAGGACUCAGCUGAGAAAGGACAACUGGGUUCCGCUUUCCUUAACCCUACACCCUUUAGCUGGAUGCUGUCAGAGGCGAUGGAGAAACGCAAAGGCUACUAGACGCAACAAUAGAAUUACCAUAUUGUUUUUCCUGGUUUGAAAGGACCAGAUGGAAAGAAACUGGGCAAGCCAAUGAAAGUCUCUGGGGAUCAUGGGAAUUGAGUGUCUAUGAAAACCAUAUUCCAGACAAGAAUAUAGUCUAAGGACACAGCAAGAGGCAACAUUUUGGAAGCAGAGGGCAACUCUCACUGGAAACCAAAUCUCCUGGCACCUUGAUCUUGGAUUUUACAGCCUCCAGAACUGAUAGCUGGGAGGCAUUACAUAGUCAUGUGCGAGGUCAAAACUGAGUCACCACCACAACCAAGUUCCAGCUGGCAAGAAGAGGAAAAAUAACACAGAGGAGUUAUGACCAGUGUUGUAAGGAUCUGGCCUAGAAAUGGCAUGCAUCUCUUCCACUAAUAUCCUAUUGGUAAAAAUGUAGUCACAUGGGCACACCACCUAUCUGCAUGGAAGGCUGGGAAAUGUUGAUCGGUAGGGCAGCCAUAUGUGUAGGAAGGAGAAAACAGAAUUUGGUGGAUACCUAGUAGUCUCUGCCAUACCCUUGACCAGAAAUUUUUCUUCUAAAGAAUUUAAUUCUAAAAGUUAUAGACAUUCCCAAAGAUAUACCUGCAAGCAUCACAGCUUUGUGUAUAAUUGCAAAAGUUGAAAUCAACAUGAAUGCCCAAAAUAGUGAAUUAUUUAAACAGAUUAUUACCCAUAUUAUGAAGAAAUACUCUGCAACUCUUAAAAAUAAAUGUAAUGUGCCAGGCGCAAUGGGAUAUGCCUGCAGGCCCAGCUACACGGGAGGCCAAGGCAGGAGGAUCACUUGAAAUCAAGAGUUCAAGUCUAGCCUAGACAACAUAGUGAGACUUGGUCUCUAAAAAAGAAAAAAAAAAAUAAAACUGAUGUAAUGAAUAUAUAAUUACAACAAAAGAGGUCUAACACUAUAGUAGAAAAGUUUGGGGCACUCAUCCCAUUCAUAAUUAUUUUACAUUUAAAUUACUGUUCCUACUUAAGUGGUGAGCUUGGUAACCAUUUUCAUAUCAGGUGAUACUGCUGCAGUAAUCAUAGCUGUUUGAAUCAGGAAUAAUCCCAAUCACAUUUUCUCUUAAUCGUUUAUUAUACUGGGCAUUGGGGUUGCAAGAUAAUGCACAGUCCGAGCUCAAUACAUGUCUUCAUGUACCUGUAUGUAAAUCCCACUUUUAUUCUAAAAUUCUUUGAAUAUUUUGUUUCUUGGAACCCAAUGAUCCUAAGAAAAUUAUGUACUUUUAC